Molecule: ribosomal RNA, 433 nt
Filed under: uncultured bacterium
Lineage: Bacteria
Description: partial 16S ribosomal RNA
Rfam family: Bacterial small subunit ribosomal RNA
Source: RNAcentral
AGCGAACGCUGGCGGCAGGCUUAACACAUGCAAGUCGAGCGGGCACUUCGGUGUCAGCGGCAGACGGGUGAGUAACACGUGGGAACGUACCCUUUGGUUCGGAAUAACGCUGGGAAACUAGCGCUAAUACCGGAUACGCCCUUUUGGGGAAAGGCUUGCUGCCGAAGGAUCGGCCCGCGUCUGAUUAGCUAGUUGGUGGGGUAAUGGCCUACCAAGGCGACGAUCAGAAGCUGGUCUGAGAGGAUGAUCAGCCACACUGGGACUGAGACACGGCCCAGACUCCUACGGGAGGCAGCAGUGGGGAAUAUUGGACAAUGGGCGCAAGCCUGAUCCAGCCAUGCCGCGUGAGUGAUGAAGGCCCUAGGGUUGUAAAGCUCUUUUGUCCGGGACGAUAAUGACGGUACCGGAAGAAUAAGCCCCGGCUAACUUCGUG